GUACGGGAGGCAGCAGUGGGGAAUAUUGCGCAAUGGGCGGAAGCCUGACGCAGCGACGCCGCGUGGGGGAUGAAGGCCUUCGGGUUGUAAACCUCUUUCACCACCGACGAAGCUUCGGUGACGGUAGGUGGGGAAGAAGCGCCGGCUAACUACGUGCCAGCAGCCGCGGUAAUACGUAGGGCGCAAGCGUUGUCCGGAAUUAUUGGGCGUAAAGAGCUCGUAGGUGGUUUGUUGCGUCUGCCGUGAAAACCCGAGGCUUAACCUCGUGGCUUGCGGUGGAUACGGGCAGACUUGAGGUAGGUAGGGGAGAAUGGAAUUCCCGGUGUAGCGGUGAAAUGCGCAGAUAUCGGGAGGAACACCGGUGGCGAAGGCGGUUCUCUGGGCCUUACCUGACGCUGAGGAGCGAAAGCGUGGGGAGCGAACAGGAUUAGAUACCCUGGU
RNAcentral lists this ribosomal RNA (441 nucleotides) under uncultured bacterium. Its description in RNAcentral is "bacterial SSU rRNA". It matches the Rfam family "Bacterial small subunit ribosomal RNA", at positions 339 to 791 of the family's 1533-position model. The record is from RNAcentral.